GCUCGAGUGGCGAGCGGGUGAGUAACACGUGAGUAACCUGCCCUUGACUUUUGGAUAACUUCAGGAAACUGGGGCUAAUACCGGGUAGGAGCUCCUGCUGCAUGGUGGGGGUUGGAAAGUUUCGGCGGUUGGGGAUGGACUCGCGGCUUAUCAGCUUGUUGGUGGGGUAGUGGCUUACCAAGGCUUUGACGGGUAGCCGGCCUGAGAGGGUGACCGGCCACAUUGGGACUGAGAUACGGCCCAG
Molecule: ribosomal RNA, 244 nt
Filed under: uncultured Actinomycetales bacterium
Lineage: Bacteria; Bacillati; Actinomycetota; Actinomycetes; Actinomycetales
Description: partial 16S ribosomal RNA
Rfam family: Bacterial small subunit ribosomal RNA
Source: RNAcentral